RNAcentral lists this RNase P RNA (325 nucleotides) under human gut metagenome. Its description in RNAcentral is "Bacterial RNase P class A". It matches the Rfam family "Bacterial RNase P class A". Rfam says of the family: Ribonuclease P (RNase P) is a ubiquitous endoribonuclease, found in archaea, bacteria and eukarya as well as chloroplasts and mitochondria. Its best characterised activity is the generation of mature 5'-ends of tRNAs by cleaving the 5'-leader elements of precursor-tRNAs. Cellular RNase Ps are ribonucleoproteins. The record is from RNAcentral.
GGUAAGCCAGACAGUCGCGGCGGAGAUUGCUCCGACGAGGAAAGUCCGAGCUUCACAGGGCAGGGUGCCGGGUAACUCCCGGUGAAGGCAACUUCAAGGAUAGUGCAACAGAAAUAGACUACCGCAUAUGCGGUACAGGUGGAAAGGUGAGGUAAAAGCUCACCGGCGUCCGGGUGACCGGACGGCCGUGUAAACCCCAUCCGAAGCAACACCGAGCGAGAGGGCGGCCCGCCAUUAUACUCUCAACAGGUGGCUUGAGCGAUGCAGAAAUGCAUCGCCUAGAUAGAUGACUGUUUAAUACAGAACUCGGCUUACAGGCUUGCCC